This is an RNA transcript of Patiria miniata (bat star), 5066 nucleotides long. It is a transcript of the gene named ubiquitin carboxyl-terminal hydrolase 2-like, with no coding region annotated. The record is from RefSeq and is a predicted model, not a curated record. The transcript has 19 exons. NCBI's taxonomy places the organism in Eukaryota, Metazoa, Echinodermata, Asteroidea, Valvatida, Asterinidae.
CGGUAUGCGCAUGCGUGUUAACAGUCGUAGAAGGUGUCGUCGAUGUCGUUUUGUGAGUUGUCGUCUACUUUUUUGAGAAAAAAAGCCUGAAUAUCGUCAGUUCCCGUACCCUAUAACAGCAUUGCUUAGCCUAACAGCGUGUAGAGUAGCUCAGGAAUAUUUAGAUCCACCUGUUAGCUAAACCCUAAGCAAACAUUUUGCCCUUUGACUCUACCCGGCCACCCUCUGGUCCACUUGGGCGUGGAAGACCUGGCCCGAUCAGAGGGAAAAAGGCCAAAAAAUGCCGGCCAUCUGAGACCGGAGAAGCUCGGCUCUCCGAGGCCAAAGAAGCUCGGCCGUCCGAGGUUGUGAAGAACGGGCCAAUUGAGGCCACUAGGGCUAGUCAGCCAGUAAAGGAAGGAUCCAGAAAUACCUUUUUCCGAAAGGUGAAGAAGGCAGUGUGUCUUUGUGAGCCAGAAGUCAUCGAGUCCGAGACUGGCCUGAACAACAAGGUCAAGGGUCAUGCCACCAACCCCAAGUCCAAGAACACCAAGCCUGAUGACAAGUCCAAGCCACCUGUCAAGGGUCCUUCAUCGCUCCGCGUUGAGGAAGCAGAGAUCACCCAGAUGUUCAGCCCAUCCCUUGCCAAGAAGUUCAAGGAGGUUGAUAAGAAGUUGGCAAAAAGAGCAGCCAAAAAAGCCGCCCGAGCUGAAGCCGAGCGGAAGAAGAAGGAGAAACAGGAGCAGAUCCGUCGCGAAAAGGAACGGAAGGAGGCACUGAAGGAAGCGAGGAGGCAGAAGAAGGAAGCAGCCAAGCAAGAGAAGGUGGAGCAGAAAGAGCAACGGAUUGCCAAGAAGUUGGCCAAGAAAGGACAGCAGAAGGCCAUGAGUGGCAAGGGUGAUUCUAAGAGUGACAGAAACGCGACUUAUGGUUAUAGGAAGCCCAUAGACACCUCCCCCGUGUCUACAUCAUCAGCUUCCGUCCCCCAUUUCCAUCAAUCGCCACCCUGUGUAUCCCCCAAGGUACCCCCUGGAAGCCCCCACUUCCAGCACGUCAAAUCCCUCUUAGUCCACAUCUCCCCCGAUGACGGACUACCAGUGAUCAGUGAUGGUUUCCCCUGCGUGGAAGUACCCCUGAGUACCGCGGAUGAUGUAGUCGGAAUGUCGUAUCGGUCGCCAUCUCAGCGCCAAUCCCCCGUCACGGUGCAGCGACGUUCUUCACGAUCUCCUUCCCCGGCCCGACUGGUUAGUCCACCCAGCUCCCUGUCUAGAGUUUCGCCACCGGGUUCACGUACCCCUCAUCCACCGAGUGGUUUCUCUCGCACGGAGUAUAUUCCAUCUAUCGGUCGUCCUACAUCUCGGCGUUCCAGCAAGACUGGAGCCUUAGACAGUAGCUCAGCUGAGAAAUCUCGUUUCUCUCGCUAUGGAGGCACUGAUAUCAACGCCAAUUCCCGCAUCGAUCCACUGUCCAAGCUGUAUGGCAAGCAGUCGUCACCAGCAAAGAUACCACAGCAGACUCGCCAACAGCCAGUGCGUGCUAUCCAUCCGACUACGGAGACGGGUAGUAAGACCUAUCGCUAUAGCAACAGCCGUAACCAUAGCAUUGAGGAUGACCUCAUCGAUGAAGUCAUCAAUCUUCAGAUUGAUGACACACCUGGUUCAUUGUCACCUGCAUCUACUGCAUCUAGCAGCAGACGUUCCAGUUACACCAUGGGACAACGAUCAAAGGGCAGUUCAUCUGACCUCAGAUGCCCUCCAAUUGCAGGUGCCUCACCACAAGAGGGCGCUAGCACCGCUAAGGUGACACGACGCUUGUCUGGCAACAUGAACACUGAUUACAAGCCCACCUUUGCCAGUCACAAUCGCAAGCCCUCAACCACCACCAACGGUCCUAAGGUACCCGCCAUCUCACGUACCAAGGCUGCAUCCAUCCUGGAUGAAUCUAACAGUGACAAGACGAAGGAGGAGAAAGAAGCACCUCAACCAGCUUUCAGCUCUGCCCAACAUUCUGUUCUUGGCACCGGAAGAACAGGGAAUGUGUUGGAGGGGAAACCUAGACCAGGAGGAAUGAUAGGCAUGUCCAACCUGGGAAACACUUGUUACAUGAAUUCCAUCUUGCAGUGUUUGGCUCAGAACAAGGAUUUGCGAGAGUAUUUCUUGGAAGGUUUGCAUCUUAAAGACAUCAACAAACGAUCACCUCGGCAGGGUUCACUCGUCAAAAGUUUUGCCGAAGUCGUGAAAGAAAUAUGGUUUCCCAAGAAGAAGAACGUAGUCGCACCGACUCAUCUGCAGAAUGUCUUCCAGAAGGUCGCUAGACACUUUGGUCCUGGGAAGCAGCAAGAUGCUCAGGAGUUUCUAUGCUAUCUCUUGGGUGAACUCCAUGAGGAGAUUAACAUCGCUGCCAAGCACAGAGGCAAAGAUCCAGAAAUCCCUGAUGACAUCUCUGAGGAAGCUAAAGCCAAGCUAGCCUGGGAUCGCUACUGCGCUCGCAACAACUCCAUCUUCUCUCGUCUCUUUGUUGGACAACUCAAGAGCACCUUGGAAUGCCAGACUUGUAAGAACCGCUCCGUCACGUUUGACAUCUUUUGGGACAUCUCUGUUCCAGUGCCUGAGCGAGUGAAAUUCCAACGCCGUAACAGCUGGCAGCGUGAAGAUCAGCCAACCAAGCACACAUUUGACAUCAAGGAUUGCCUGAAUAAGUUCACAGAAGCCGAGGUACUAGACGGGGACAACAUGGUGACCUGCGAGAAAUGCAAGAAGAAGCGAGUGUUCACCAAGAGGUUUUCUAUCCAGCGCUUCCCGAAACAUCUUGUGCUUCACCUUAAGCGUUUCAGCUGUCUUCGUGCUAAGCUCACAACUUUCGUUGACUUUCCGUUGGAGGGCUUGGAUAUGUCCCAAUAUCUGGCCGAUAAUGCAGCACCCAUUGGUGAUUUCGAUCUGACCACAUCCAUCAACCAUAUUGGAAAUCCAAAUUACGAACUGUUCUAUGCGAUCUGGGAGCAAUGCCAUGCACCGCCUGUGAUGGACGUGGCCUACAUGCUGUCGCUUGAGGACAGUGCUUCCGACGACGACGAACAACAAGGAGGGCGCUAUAACCUGAACGGAGUCUCUCAACAUUCUGGGUCCAUGAUCGGUGGUCAUUACGUGGCUUACGCCAAGCAUACACUGACUAACAAGUGGAAUUGCUAUGAUGAUGCAAGAGUUGAACCUAUCACAGAGGCCUCGGUGCCGAGCUCCUUUGCAUACGUUCUGUUCUACGAGCAGACAGAACAACUGUAAGCCAACAAUCAUCAAGCUAGUCUUGCCAUUCCGGAGGGAGGGGUUAAGAGAUAACAACAUUUGAAUAGUCUUCCUGGUUUGAUACUCAGUUUGAUGAUAGCUAUUGAAAGAAAAAGAUUCAAAGUUCAUAGUUAGUCACAUGCCAACACGAACUCAGACUGAGUUUGAACAAUCUUUUGGUUCCAUCUGAAACAGGUCAAGACUCAAUUUUGCCAUCAGCCACAGAUCUCUCUUUGCCCCUCCCUCCAAUUGUACCUCCCCCUCCUCCGAGUGGAACAAGCCAAAACAAUCAACUUGGGUGAGCCAACUGAUCUGAGGGGGAGGUGCACACUUUUUUUAUCGAUGUAAAAUACUUUUAUACAAAGAUAUUUAUUGCUUUAGGUACAAGUGUGCUUCGGUACUUUGGGGGAGGUACCAGUGCAUUAAUGGGGGGGGGAUACUUGAAGAGGUAUAGUUGUAAUAUUUUGUAUCAAAGUAUUUUAUAUUUCAAGGUAUUCAAUUGCAUCAUGUGACCCAUAACCAGAUAUCAUAUGUGUGUAACCAAUCAAAACUAAAAUUGAAAAAUAAAAAUAUUCCUGACGUUGUUUUGGUGUUGGAUAAGAACUUGGAAGGUUUUCCGGCACAAGGUUUUUCUUGAAUCCCAACCAAUCUAUUACAGUAAGCCGUAUGGCUUCUGUCUAACUUGGAUCUUGUUGCGAUUUAGUAAAACUUGAUCUCACAAAAUCUUGUGUUGGAACUUUGCUAGCGACGUUCCAUCUUGGUAAGUUGAAAGUUCAGAGGUCUGAUAGUUUUAAGUUGUUUUUUUAUUCACCCUAUUUUGAUAUACUUUAAAGGUUUUCUUUUUAUAUUUAAUUCCUGACAUAUUUGAAUGUCAGGAUUUUUUUGUAUUCAUUACUGGCUUUCUUUUAUCUUGAGGACAUCCAUAUAUUGAAUGCGUGGAAUGAAGAUAGGUAGAGUUUGUCGAGGGUUGAGUUCGGAAAGGAUGAGUUUGUGGGGAUGAGGAUGAACAAUUGCUUUCACACUAGUAGAAUUCCAUUUUAGGUUUGGUUUAUCAAACCAAGUACUAGUAAGAGUAAGUAGGAGCUUGAUGAGGGGAGGAUAAGAUCGAAGAUGGAGUACAGAGAGGGAUGUAGAAGACUUGCUUUACACUAGUAAGAUCAUAAAACAAGGUUUGAUAAACCAAACCAAUGACUAGUUAGAGCAAGUAAGAGUUUGAUAUGGACAGGAUAAGAUCUAAGAUAGAGUUCAGAGAAUGAAGCAGAAGCCUUGCUCUUACACUAGUUCGAUCAGGAAACAAGGUUUGAUAAACCAAACCAAGUACUAGUAAAUGUAAGUAGGAGCUUGAUGUGGGGAGGAUAAGACCUAAGAUGGAGUUCAGAGAGCGAAGAAGAAGCCUUGCUCUUACAUUAGUUGGAUCAUGAAACAAGGUUUGAUAAACCAAACCAAGUACUAGUAAGAGUAAGUAGGAGCUUGAUAUGGGGAGGAUAAGAUCUAAGAUGGAGUUCAGAGAGUGAAGGAGAAGCCUUGGUCUUACACAAGUUAGAUCAUAAAACAAUGUUUGAUAAACCAAACCAAGUACUUUAAGAGCAAGUAAGAGUUCGAUAUGGGGAGGAUAAGAUCUAAGAUGGAGUUCAGAGAGUGAAGGAGAAGCCUUGGUCUUACACAAGUUAGAUCAUAAAACAAUGUUUGAUAAACCAAACCAAGUACUUGUAAGAGUCAGUAGGAGCUUGAUAUGGCGAGGAUAAGACCUAAGAUGGAGUUCAGAGAGCGUAGUAGAAGCCUUGCUCUUAUACAACUUAGAUCAUAAAA